This 382-nucleotide ribosomal RNA is filed under the name uncultured eukaryote. Its description in RNAcentral is "partial 18S ribosomal RNA". It matches the Rfam family "Eukaryotic small subunit ribosomal RNA", at positions 592 to 976 of the family's 1831-position model. The record is from RNAcentral.
UGUAAGCGUAUACCAAAGUUGUUGCAGUUAAAACGCUCGUAGUCGGAAUUUGGCAGUUCCGGAUGUGUGCACGUCGUGUGCGCACUUCGCGGGGAUUGCUUUUGUGGUCUUGCGUAGGAUGAGGCACUUUUAUUAGUGAACGUCCUCACGCAACCACUUUUUACUGUGAGAAAAUCAGAGUGCUCAAAGCAGGCAUUUGCCGUGAAUGUAUUAGCAUGGAAUAAUAGAAUAGGACUUGGUUCUAUUUUGUUGGUUUGUUGGGACUGAGUAAUGAUUAAGAGGGACAGUUGGGGGCAUUUGUAUUUCGGUGCUAGAGGUGAAAUUCUUAGAUUACCGAAAGACAAACUGCUGCGAAGGCGUCUGCCAAGGAUGUUUUCAUUGA